Molecule: ribosomal RNA, 466 nt
Filed under: uncultured bacterium
Lineage: Bacteria
Description: partial 16S ribosomal RNA
Rfam family: Bacterial small subunit ribosomal RNA
Source: RNAcentral
GACGAACGCUGGCGGCGUGCUUAACACAUGCAAGUCGAACGGAAAGGCCCUGCUUGCAGGGUACUCGAGUGGCGAACGGGUGAGUAACACGUGGGUGAUCUGCCCUGCACUUCGGGAUAAGCUUGGGAAACUGGGUCUAAUACCGGAUAGGAACCAUCUUUAGUGUGGUGGUUGGAAAGUUUUUUCGGUGUAGGAUGAGCUCGCGGCCUAUCAGCUUGUUGGUGGGGUAAUGGCCUACCAAGGCGGCGACGGGUAGCCGGCCUGAGAGGGUGUACGGCCACAUUGGGACGGAGAUACGGCCCAGACUCCUACGGGAGGCAGCAGUGGGGAAUAUUGCACAAUGGGCGCAAGCCUGAUGCAGCGACGCCGCGUUGGGGAUGAAGGCCUUCGGGUUGUAAACUCCUUUCGCUAGGGACGAAGCUUUGUUGUGACGGUACCUAGAUAAGAAGCACCGGCUAACUACGUG